AUUGAACGCUGGCGGCAUGCCUUACACAUGCAAGUCGAACGGCAGCGCGGGCUUCGGUCUGGCGGCGAGUGGUGAACGGGUGAGUAAUACAUCGGAACGUACCCUGUUGUGGGGGAUAACUAGUCGGAAGAUUAGCUAAUACCGCAUACGACCUGAGGGUGAAAGUGGGGGACCGCAAGGCCUCACGCAGCAGGAGCGGCCGAUGUCUGAUUAGCUAGUUGGUGGGGUAAAGGCCCACCAAGGCGACGAUCAGUAGCUGGUCUGAGAGGACGAUCAGCCACACUGGGACUGGAUCACGGCCCAGACUCCUACGGGAGGCAGCAGUGGGGAAUUUUGGACAAGGGGGGCAACCCUGAUCCAGCAAUGCCGCGUGUGUGAAGAAGGCCUUCGGGUUGUAAAGCACUUUUGUCCGGAAAGAAAUCGCGCUGGUUAAUACCUGGCGUGGAUGACGGUACCGGAAGAAUAAGCACCGGCUAACUACGUGCCAGCCGCCGCCGUAA
RNAcentral lists this ribosomal RNA (500 nucleotides) under uncultured bacterium. Its description in RNAcentral is "partial 16S ribosomal RNA". It matches the Rfam family "Bacterial small subunit ribosomal RNA", at positions 29 to 523 of the family's 1533-position model. The record is from RNAcentral.